RNAcentral lists this ribosomal RNA (169 nucleotides) under uncultured Iamia sp. RNAcentral describes it as "partial 16S ribosomal RNA". It matches the Rfam family "Bacterial small subunit ribosomal RNA", at positions 338 to 524 of the family's 1533-position model. Lineage: Bacteria; Bacillati; Actinomycetota; Acidimicrobiia; Acidimicrobiales; Iamiaceae. The record is from RNAcentral.
CCUACGGGAGGCAGCAGCAGGGAAUCUUGCGCAAUGGGCGAAAGCCCGACGCAGCAACGCCGCGUGGGGGAUGAAGGCCUUCGGGUUGUAAACCCCUUUCAGGAGGGAAGAAAAUGACGGUACCUCCAGAAGAAGCCCCGGCCAACUACGUGCCAGCAGCCGCGGUAAU